GGCCUGAUGGUCUAGUGGUAUGAUUGUCGCUUCGGGUUCUCCGCAUGUCCUGCAGACAUGCCUGUAUGUGACAGGCCCCGGGUUCGAAUCCCGGUCAGGCCC
Non-coding RNA from Phyllosticta citribraziliensis, 102 nucleotides. The record is from the annotation of a GenBank genome assembly. NCBI's taxonomy places the organism in Eukaryota, Fungi, Ascomycota, Dothideomycetes, Botryosphaeriales, Phyllostictaceae.